Molecule: transfer RNA, 83 nt
Filed under: Allobosea sp. RAC05
Lineage: Bacteria; Pseudomonadati; Pseudomonadota; Alphaproteobacteria; Hyphomicrobiales; Alloboseaceae
Description: Bosea sp. RAC05 tRNA
Rfam family: tRNA
About the family: Transfer RNA (tRNA) molecules are approximately 80 nucleotides in length. Their secondary structure includes four short double-helical elements and three loops (D, anti-codon, and T loops).
Source: Rfam by way of RNAcentral
GCGAGCGUGGCGGAACCGGUAGACGCGCUGAUCUUAAAAAUCGGCGGCCUAGAGCCGUGCGGGUUCGAGCCCCGCCGCUCGCA